AGAGUGAACGCUGGCGGCAGGCCUAACACAUGCAAGUCGAACGGCAGCACAGAGGAGCUUGCUCCUUGGGUGGCGAGUGGCGGACGGGUGAGGAAUACGUCGGAAUCUGCCUAUUUGUGGGGGAUAACGUAGGGAAACUUACGCUAAUACCGCAUACGACCUACGGGUGAAAGCGGAGGACCUUCGGGCUUCGCGCAGAUAGAUGAGCCGACGUCGGAUUAGCUAGUUGCGGGUAAAGGCCCACCAAGGCGACGAUCCGUAGCUGGUCUGAGAGGAUGAUCAGCCACACUGGAACUGAGACACGGUCCAGACUCCUACGGGAGGCAGCAGUGGGGAAUAUUGGACAAUGGGCGCAAGCCUGAUCCAGCCAUGCCGCGUGUGUGAAGAAGGCUUCGGUUGUAAAGCAUUUGUAACGGAAGAAAAGACUUUCGGUUAAUACCCGGAAGUUUCGUAGACGGUACCGUUAAGAAUAAGACAACCGGACUAACUUACGUGCCGAGCAGCCGACGGUAAC
This 514-nucleotide ribosomal RNA is filed under the name uncultured soil bacterium. RNAcentral describes it as "bacterial SSU rRNA". It matches the Rfam family "Bacterial small subunit ribosomal RNA", at positions 26 to 524 of the family's 1533-position model. The record is from RNAcentral.